This 466-nucleotide ribosomal RNA is filed under the name uncultured bacterium. RNAcentral's name for it is "partial 16S ribosomal RNA". It matches the Rfam family "Bacterial small subunit ribosomal RNA", at positions 28 to 507 of the family's 1533-position model. The record is from RNAcentral.
GAUGAACGCUGGCGGCGUGCUUAACACAUGCAAGUCGAACGAUGAAGCCCAGCUUGCUGGGUGGAUUAGUGGCGAACGGGUGAGUAACACGUGAGUAACCUGCCCUUAACUCUGGGAUAAGCCUGGGAAACUGGGUCUAAUACCGGAUAGGAGCGCCUACCGCAUGGUGGGUGUUGGAAAGAUUUAUCGGUUUUGGAUGGACUCGCGGCCUAUCAGCUUGUUGGUGAGGUAAUGGCUCACCAAGGCGACGACGGGUAGCCGGCCUGAGAGGGUGACCGGCCACACUGGGACUGAGACACGGCCCAGACUCCUACGGGAGGCAGCAGUGGGGAAUAUUGCACAAUGGGCGAAAGCCUGAUGCAGCGACGCCGCGUGAGGGAUGACGGCCUUCGGGUUGUAAACCUCUUUCAGUAGGGAAGAAGCGAAAGUGACGGUACCUGCAGAAGAGGCACCGGCUAACUACGUG